CCAGGAUGCCAGCAUAGUGAGUUCUGGUGAGGGCUGUUUUCCUGGUU
RNAcentral lists this microRNA precursor (47 nucleotides) under Homo sapiens (human). RNAcentral describes it as "microRNA hsa-mir-10524 precursor". Lineage: Eukaryota; Metazoa; Chordata; Mammalia; Primates; Hominidae. The record is from miRBase by way of RNAcentral.